UAUGCCUCAUCUUUCUAGAAGGAAGGAGAA
This 30-nucleotide non-coding RNA is filed under the name Homo sapiens (human). The record is from RNAcentral. Lineage: Eukaryota; Metazoa; Chordata; Mammalia; Primates; Hominidae.